UCGCUGAUGCAGCUUGUUUUAGCGCUGGGAUUUCGGAGCAUCGGCAGGUGCUGAAUCCACGACUAUUACAGGAAUACCUAAACUUUUCUUUACGCUGGGAACGCUAAUAACUGUAAAGUUCCAAGAGAGAACAAAGGGAUUAGAAAAUAACAAAUAAUAAAAUAAAUGAAUAAUAAGAGCAUAUACUAGAAGUUCGUCUUGGAGGGUUUUAGACUAUCAUGGGAAGAUAACCAAUUAACCACCAUUACAAGAAUACCAAGAUGCUGAUGAAAUCGGUUCACUUCUUGAUACACCAGUAUCAUUCUACAGUGUCUAAAUGCAAUAUGAAUCACACAGUGGAAUCAAUACCCUAAGCAAUAUGUAUUUCAUGAGGAAAAUCCAACUUCCGCCAAUGAAGUGGUGAAUAAAGGAAAAGAGAGAAUUAAUAUUAUAAAGGAAAUUUUGAAAUGACUUACCAAGUCCAUAAAUAAUUAAAAACAAAUUUGAUGUAAGCCAGAAACAUAAUAUAGCCUGCACAAGUAGAAACACGAUCUGAUAUUAAAGAAAAACUACAAACAAAUUAUAAAUAGAAUUCAUAAGUAAAAAGAUAAUCAAUAAUCUAUUACCUAUCCAUGUCUAUAUUAUAUAUAAACAUGCAUGGCAUAAGCCGUUGCUAAACUUUUUGCUUCACUGAAGAUACCCUAAAACAUUCUCUUAAAAAAAGGCCCUUAAACUCAACAAUAAUUACAAUAUUUCUGUUCAUAAUUAUGAAAAAUCUCUUGUUGGUAUAGAAAAUAGAAUAGCAGCUUUUUUCCCGUUUUAAAGUUUUCUAAUGACUAGAAUACAAUCUUACUUUGCUUUGUUUUGACUUUUGAGUCAAGAGAACAUUUUUUCAUGUUUCCUAGUAAGUUUCAAACAUUCAAUAAUUAUAUUAAUUUUCAAAUUAUUAGGACAUUUUCAAUAAAAAGGUACUCAUUAAGAAGUACAAAGGAUGAGACGCUAAAAAGAUUAUUUAUAAUUCUAUGAAAGUAAGUGUGAAGUGCCAUUUGAAAAAAAGUCUGACAAUAACAAUAACAAUAACAACAACAAUAAUAAUAAUAAAAAUAGAGACCACUAGUACCAUUUGCCAAAAGAAACUUUCGAUUGAUCUUCUGUCACACUAACAAAGUUGAUAGUCUCUAGGGCUCUUUCCAAGUUCAUAUAAUAAAUUAUCUCAACCACACAGAUGUGUGGCGGCACAGAGACGUAAUUCCUUCAAAAAAGAGCCAAGCCAAAAAAGUUUACCUUUGGAAGUUCCAUGGCACAAGGGACUACAAGAACAGAAACAGCCCUAGAGAGAUUUUUCAUGGUAGUACUGCUCUCCACAACCGUACCAUAAGAGGCUUCUUGAACAAUAUGCUGAGGAACAGGAUAAAAGUAUAAAACCAAUAUAAUAUGAACCGGAAUAAAACAAAGAACAACACUCUUGGUAACUCCAAAACUACGUUUCUCAUGACUUAUUAAGUAACUGGUCUAAAAGUGGAUUGAUGGCAUAGAACUUAAAACAGAAAUCUAAAACAAAUAUUGACAAGAAUUAAAGAAGCAACAAAGAAAGACAACAGAAAUGAAAGUUGAAAGAGAAGCUCUGGAAACAGGAUGCUGACCUCUACUAUUACCAAGAAUGACAAUGCAGUCAAAACAGGAAAAAUGUAUAAGGAAUCUGGAGUUGUGAGAUCAGUAAACCAGUAGGCUCCACCAUGCUUGAAUGAUGGCAUUUUUUCUGCCAUGUUUGAUAUCUGUCAUUAAACAAGAUAAUGUGAAUCAAUAGAAAAAUAUUAAGGAUCCUGAAUCCUCAGACUCUUAUAAUUAGGGAGAAUAUCAAAUUUAAAUUCUACUUACUGCACAGAAGAAGCUGAUCAAGAUAGAAGCUUGAAUAAAGAACCCCUGCAAUGAUGGAAAUCGACUCGCACCAAAUCUGCAUUAUUAGAAUCAAAGAAAAAAGGAUAUAAAGGGAAACAGAAGAUCUAAGAAGUUUAAUUUACUAGUUGGGCUCUUGAUAUAUACCGCAGUCCAGCAGUUGUGCUUGCUAGUUUAUAUGUUCAAAGAAGUUCUUAAAUAUUAAUAAUAACUAGUCCAACUUACAUUCUGGAGAGAGGGAUGGAAAAAAUAGAAAACAAAAAGUUUUAAAACAUAUACUUAUCUGCAAGCAAACCAAUGAUACACUUACUCCUUAAAUAGCUUCGCAAUUUGUUUCUGACCUUCCGCAACAGCUGCAGGAUCCGAUUCCUAAAAUCAUUAUUGCAAUCGCUCUUUUUAUCGAAAAGAGAAAUGUUAUGGCAACCACAACCAAAAUUGUUUCUAUGGUCCAAUUCCAUUUCAAAGGCUGAAUGAUGGUCGGAUUCCAAUCCAAAAGAACGACCUUAUUGCUCAUUUUCCAUCCUUUGUUCCCAUUCUAUCUACACCAUUUUAGUCCUUUAUGACCUCUUAUACAAAACACUUCAAAUAGUGGUAGAUGGAGAAAAAGAGUCUAGUUAUGCAGAGUUGUUUGUUUUGAUUGCCAAAGUAGCUCUCAAAAAAAAAAAAAAAUGACAGAACCCCAGGACAGAUACUUAAUAAUUGAACUAAAUCAAUCUUCAGAAAGUCUAUUGAGUAAAACAAAUAUUUGAAGAUAAAAAGCAAUGGAACUGUGAGGUUUCAUUAACUUUAACACACUUGCAUAUCUCAAAAAAUCCACCAUUACCUUGUCUUCCAUCUGUGCCUUUAUUUCAUCUACUUUAAGCCUCAAUACCUGCAUCAGAAAUGAAAAUGGUAAGCCUAGCAACGCAGUUGAUCAGAGCACGGAGAAAGCUAAUUUUGAUAUAACAAAUUAACAACUACGAUAGCUGCAGGGAUUAUUCUGAAUGCACCUAAAAAGAAACUGUGGGAAGCAAGGGAUUAAUUAAUCCUCAAACCCAUCUGAGGAGGGAUCUUAUGAGGAGUAAAGAGAAGAAAAGGGAAGCUGAAACCUCCUUCCCUCCAACUGUUCAAAACUUUAAAUCAAAUUUAUUCCAAAGAGGACAUAGAUGGCCAUUAUUUUUACCAAGAAAUAAAGAUGAAUGAAAGAAGCUAUGAGCAGCACAACGUACAUGGAAUCUGGAAUUAGCCUUAAGUUGAUUUACUAAGGAUGGAAUUGUUGCGAUUCGAACCAAGAAGGUUGUCAUAACUAUGGCUGCCCACCUGAAAGGAAGAAAGAGGAAAAAAGAAGCCAUUGGAGAACUGAAUUCCGUAACAUCUAUCUAGUAACAAUGUAAUGAUAAAAGAACAAUCUUGCUAAGACAAUCUCAAGAGCCCUAAAUUACAAAUAAACCUUUAAUUCUGGCAAAAGCUAAAAAAAUUCCACAUAAUGGCAACUUCAAAUACACAAUUAACCAAUUCUUAACGAUGAAAAACUACAAAAUUUUCUCAAAACUCAGCAAUAAUGUUUUACACUCACCAGUUCAUGCCAGUGAAGGAAUGCACAUAGUCGAUGGCAUACUGUACCAUCUUCACCGGUAAAAGAGAAUCAGCGGCGGCAAUCGCAACUUCGUCGACGACGGAACCAGCCUGAGAAGCUACGGUAUCAAUGGUCGUUUCGGCGAGCACAUCUGCCACGUCGAUCCCGAAAUUGAUCUUAUCGGAAUCAUCAUUCAACGUAGACAUGUAUCGGCACAAACUAUAUCCAGAAAACGUGUUAUUGAAAAUCGUUCUUCGUUUAGAAGAAGCACCGAACCCCGUUGAUCCCUUGAGGAAGCUCCCGAAGGACCGCGCUUGGAUCAAACUAGUUAUUGCCGCUGGAACCGGUUUUUCUUGUUGCCGUUGGUUGGGUUCGUCGAUGGUGUGGUGGAGAACGUAGCUGAAAGAAGGGCGGAAGUUGCAGUUUGAGAGGUUGGUUCUUCGCAGGAGGUAGCGUCGAUAAGCCAUUGGUGAGAACUGAAAGGAGGUGAGAAUUAGGUUAAAGCAUGAACAAGCGUAGAACGAAAUUGAGCAAUUCAGAACGUAGGAAUGUUGAUAUGUUUGGCAUGAAACGUGAUUGGUGGAAGGUGGCGUUACGGCGUCACUUGAAUUUGAGUACGGUGGAUCAGUGCAGCUGCGGGGUGGCAGAGCCUAAUGCUGCUGGACUGCUGUUUACUGGUAGUGGUAGCUCAGCGUUUGUUUCUCCGGCUCAAAAACGCUAUCGUUUCAUAUUUUGGAGGUUUUUUUUUUCUAAAUUUACUUAAAAAUAAAAGAUGUUUUUAUAUUAACUUUUAUAUUAACGCAAAAGCUUACACAGACAAAUUUUUAAUUUAAAACUAAUACACCAAUAAAUUAUUAGAUUUAGUUAAAAAUGGGUUUUAUAAGUAUUUGUCACACAACAAGUAAGAUUUUUUUUAUAUACUCAAUGUAUUAAACUUUUUUCUUUUAAGACAUUCUUUUAUCUUUUUAUUGUUUUUAACUAGUAUCUUCUNNNNNNNNNNNNNNNNNNNNNNNNNUUAUCUUCUGUUUAAUUUAAAAAAAAAAAGUAUAUUUUGUCAAAAUAAAUUGAUGACCAAUACUUUUCUUUUAUAAUCUAUUUUGCAUUUAAAUUAAUGGCAACCAAAUACCUAUUUUUAUAUUUAGAAUGUUAGCUCUAGCAUUUCUUAAAAAAAAUAAAAAUGAUUAUAAAAGUGGGAAAAAUCAAAUUUUAAUAUUUUAUAAAAAAAUAAAAAAGACUGAUUUUUAAAGAGUUAUAAAACACUAAUUUUCAAUAUUCUGACGUCGAAAAGUUAGCCAUAACAUACACAAAUCAUAGAUGUUGCAUAUAGGGAUGGCAAAAUUUCCCGAGAUGCGGGGAUCCCUGCGGGGACUGCCUCGAAUGGAGAUUUGAUUGUGGAGAAUUUUUUUCGCGAAGAUGAGGAUGGAGGACAAAAUUCCCCCGAAGUAGGCGCGGGGACCCGAGCGGGGAUCCCCACCCCGUUCCCGCUAUUCCCCGAAAUUUAUAAACUCCUUAAAUUAUUCUUAAUAGUUUAUUUCUCAUACAUGUUUUUUAGUCAUUUCUCACACACAUAUAUAUAGAAACACAAAACUCCUAAUCUUUAUUUGCAUAACUCCUCUUCAAUUCAGAGAUCUUAAGGUUGUCCAUAUUCCAUUCAACCUCUCUGCAGUCACCCCCUCGUCACCUUUCUCAUCGCAUCGUCACACCUCACCGUGUCAUCAACCUUACCGCGUCGUAAUUUCUAUUUGCGGCGUUCCUUUUCGUAACUCUGCCAUCGUGUCUAUUCUCCUCUCUGUUGCCGCGUCUCCUAUCUCGUCCACUGCUUUUUCCUUUGGCUCGUCGUUGCGUUCCCCGCGUUAUUUCGAAAGAAGUCACCGUCGUGUCAUUUAGACUUUUUGUAUAAAAUCUUGCAGUUUUUGUAUAAGAUAGAUACUUGUAGCUCUAUUCAUAUAGAAAUUAAUAAUUAAUUAGAACUAUUAUGUAGAUGGAAAAUGGGGUCCUCGCGGGGAAUGGGACCCCGUGGGAAAUGGGGAUGGGGAACAAAUAUGAGGGCGGGGACGGGGAGCAGGGAGGCAUCCCCCGCCCCCGCCCUGCCCGAUUGACAUCCCUAGUUGCAUUUUAUAUAUCGUGUUCAAAUAAUUAAUUUAAGGACUAUGUUAUGUGUAUAUUAAAGUCAAUCACCAGUAUAAAAUACUUGUUAGAAUAUAAAUAUACAUUAAAAAUAAAUUAAAUUACACAAAUAUUUAUACACAAAUACAUUGAUGACUAAUUUAGUGUACAAAUAGUAUUUUUGUUAAUUUAAAUAUCUCAGUGAUAGGGGUGUUCGCGGUGCAGUUUGAUUCGGUUUUAAGGAAAAAAGUCAUCCGAUCCGAACGCUUAACCUAUGUGCGGUGCGGUUUGGAUUGGAUGGAAUUUUUUUGGAAUCUGAUCCAAUCCGAUCCAAUUACAAGCGGUUUGGAUUGCGAUUUUUAAAUAAAAAAAAUUAAAUACAUAUAACAAGUCUCAAUAUCAAAUUUUAAAUAAUCAACAAUGACAUAACAAGUCUUAACAAUAUCUUAAAAAGCCAACGAUAACAUAAUAAUAGAAAUAACAUAAAAUAUUUAUUAAAUAAUAAUAAUACAUGAAUAAUAGAAAAAUGUAUAACAAAUUGAACAUAUUAUAAGUAUAAUUGUAAAUAUAAUAAUAAAAUAAUAAUAUUAUAGCACAUUGUGCGGUUUGGAUUGGAUUGGAUCGGUUAUGAAAAGUAGAUCCAAAAUCCGAUCCAAUCCAGCUGUUUGCAAAAAAUAAAAUCCAAUCAAAUACGAAUUAGUGCGGUUUUAAUCGAUUUUCGAUUUGAAUCGAAUUGGAUGAGCGGUUUAAUUUAGAUCGGUUUGAAUUUGAACACCACUACUCAGUGACACACAUUUGCAAAUUCGAGCCAUCGCUUAUUUUGCGGGCAUUCAGGCAUCAUCAAACUUAGAUUAUCCAUAAAAAGAGUGUAUUCUGUAUAGAUAUUCAUUAAGCAAAAGUUCAAACUUCCAACUUCUCCGCCAACGAGCCAUAGCUCAGAUGGCAUAUGUCCUUUCUCCCUACCUAGAAGUUUUGGAUUCGAACCUAGAGGUUUUGGAUUUGAAUCUCACUUGGUUUAAAAAAAACUUCAUUCUUCGAAGAAGAAAAAUUUGCUCACUUGAUGAUAAAAUGGAGCAUAGAUUUUCACUGUAUUAAUUCUCUAAGCUUCUGACUCUUAAGCCUUUGACUGAUGGAUACAGAAGAAAAAACCCUAUCAUUUAAAUGUCUCGAUGUUCUACCGGUAAAUGAUCUUUCAAAUAUGUCGCUGAUGCAGCUUGUUUUAGCGCUGGGAUUUUGGAGCAUCGGCAGGUGCUGAAUCCACGACUAUUACAGGAAUACCUAAACUUUUCUUUACGCUGGGAACGCUAAUAACUGUAAAGUUCCAAGAGAGAACAAAGGGAUUAGAAAAUAACAAAUAAUAAACUAAAUGAUUAAUAAGAGCAUAUACUAGAAGUUUGAAAAUCGAAAUCAAAAUCCUGAUGUAGGCU
This 6963-nucleotide long non-coding RNA is filed under the name Arachis ipaensis. RNAcentral's name for it is "long non-coding RNA (AIPA_LNC000752)". The record is from RNAcentral. Lineage: Eukaryota; Viridiplantae; Streptophyta; Magnoliopsida; Fabales; Fabaceae.